Molecule: ribosomal RNA, 301 nt
Filed under: uncultured bacterium
Lineage: Bacteria
Description: partial 16S ribosomal RNA
Rfam family: Bacterial small subunit ribosomal RNA
Source: RNAcentral
CAGUCGCCGCGGGAAUACGAAGGGUGCAAGCGUUAAUCGGAAUUACUGGGCGUAAAGCGUGCGUAGGCGGAUCGAUCAGUCAGGGGUGAAGUCCCAGAGCUCAACUCUGGAACUGCCUUUGAUACUGUCGAUCUGGAGUAUGGAAGAGGUGAGUGGAAUUCCGAGUGUAGAAGUGAAAUUCGUAGAUAUUCGGAGGAACACCGGUGGCGAAGGCGGCUCACUGGUCCAUUACUGACGCUGAGGUGCGAAAGCGUGGGGAGCAAACAGGAUUAGAUACCCCCGUAGUCCCUGUCUCUUAUAC